GCGCAUUCUCAGGGCGGGGUGAAAUUCCCCACCGGCGGUGACAGUCCGCGAGCGCCAUCAUGCCGAUGGGUCAGCAGAGCCGGUGGAAUUCCGGGACCGACGGUGAAAGUCCGGACGGGAGAGAAAGGGG
RNAcentral lists this non-coding RNA (130 nucleotides) under Salipiger aestuarii. Its description in RNAcentral is "Citreicella sp. ADB FMN riboswitch aptamer (RFN element)". It matches the Rfam family "FMN riboswitch aptamer (RFN element)". Rfam says of the family: The RFN element is a highly conserved domain that is found frequently in the 5'-untranslated regions of prokaryotic mRNAs that encode for flavin mononucleotide (FMN) biosynthesis and transport proteins. This element is a metabolite-dependent riboswitch that directly binds FMN in the absence of proteins. The record is from Rfam by way of RNAcentral. Lineage: Bacteria; Pseudomonadati; Pseudomonadota; Alphaproteobacteria; Rhodobacterales; Roseobacteraceae. RNAcentral also lists the same sequence under 1 other name.